UACGUAGGGUGCGAGCGUUAAUCGGAAUUACUGGGCGUAAAGGGCUCGUAGGCGGCCAACUAAGUCGGACGUGAAAUCCCUCGGCUUAACCGGGGAACUGCGUCUGAUACUGGAUGGCUUGAAUCCGGGAGAGGGAUGCGGAAUUCCAGGUGUAGCGGUGAAAUGCGUAGAUAUCUGGAGGAACACCGGUGGCGAAGGCGGCAUCCUGGACCGGCAUUGACGCUGAGGAGCGAAAGCCAGGGGAGCAAACGGG
Molecule: ribosomal RNA, 253 nt
Filed under: uncultured bacterium
Lineage: Bacteria
Description: partial 16S ribosomal RNA
Rfam family: Bacterial small subunit ribosomal RNA
Source: RNAcentral